This 432-nucleotide ribosomal RNA is filed under the name uncultured bacterium. Its description in RNAcentral is "partial 16S ribosomal RNA". It matches the Rfam family "Bacterial small subunit ribosomal RNA", at positions 29 to 506 of the family's 1533-position model. The record is from RNAcentral.
AACGAACGCUGGCGGCAUGCCUAACACAUGCAAGUCGAACGAGACCUUCGGGUCUAGUGGCGCACGGGUGCGUAACGCGUGGGAACCUGCCCUUAGGUUCGGAAUAACUCCCCGAAAGGGGUGCUAAUACCGGAUAAUGUCUUCGGACCAAAGAUUUAUCGCCUUUGGAUGGGCCCGCGUUGGAUUAGCUAGUUGGUAGGGUAAAAGCCUACCAAGGCGACGAUCCAUAGCUGGUCUGAGAGGAUGAUCAGCCACACUGGGACUGAGACACGGCCCAGACCCCUACGGGAGGCAGCGGUGGGGAAUAUUGGAAAAUGGGCGAAAGCCUGACCCAGCAAGGCCGGGGGAGUGAUGAAGGCCUUGGGGUUUAAAAGCUCUUUUACCCGGGAUGAAAAUGACAGUCCCGGGAGAAUAAGCCCCGGCUAACUCCGU